UACGUAGGGUGCAAGCGUUAAUCGGAAUUACUGGGCGUAAAGCGUGCGCAGGCGGUUCGUCGUGUCCGAUGUGAAAGCCCCGGGCUCAACCUGGGAAUGGCAGUGGAUACUGGAAAGCUAGAGUGCGGUAGAGGGUAGUGGAAUUCCCGGUGUAGCAGUGAAAUGCGUAGAGAUCGGGAGGAACACCAGUGGCGAAGGCGGCUACCUGGACCAGCACUGACACUGAGGCACGAAAGCGUGGGGAGCAAACAGG
RNAcentral lists this ribosomal RNA (253 nucleotides) under uncultured bacterium. RNAcentral describes it as "partial 16S ribosomal RNA". It matches the Rfam family "Bacterial small subunit ribosomal RNA", at positions 524 to 776 of the family's 1533-position model. The record is from RNAcentral.